GGCAGUGGGCAAGCACACCAGCCCUCCCCCUCAGAGUUCCACAGAGGGGACAAGGGAGGGGGCCUGAGUCUCAUUCAUAUCCCAGCACAGCCAGGAAUCAGCGCAAUCCCGAAACACUCACUGCCUUCUGGGCCUGAGUCAGGUCACACGAGAGACAUUCACAGGCGGGGACAGAGUCAGUCACAGGUGAGAGCAGAGUCAGGUGCAAGAGAACAGUCAGGGCAGAGUCCGUCACAGGCUGACAGUCACAGGCAGGGGCCGAUUCAGUCACAGGCAGGACAGAGUCAGUCACAGGCAGGGACAGAGUCAGUCACAGG
Non-coding RNA from Chlorocebus sabaeus (green monkey), 317 nucleotides. Lineage: Eukaryota; Metazoa; Chordata; Mammalia; Primates; Cercopithecidae. The record is from RefSeq and is a predicted model, not a curated record.